UACGGGGGGGGCAAGCGUUGUUCGGAAUUACUGGGCGUAAAGGGCUCGUAGGCGGCCAACUAAGUCGGACGUGAAAUCCCCAGGCUCAACCUGGGAACUGCGUCCGAUACUGGAUGGCUUGAAUCCGGGAGAGGGAUGCAGAAUUCCAGGCGUAGCGGUGAAAUGCGUAGAUAUCUGGAGGAAUACCGGUGGCGAAGGCGGCAUCCUGGACCGGCAUUGACGCUGAGGAGCGAAAGCCAGGGGAGCAAACGGG
RNAcentral lists this ribosomal RNA (253 nucleotides) under uncultured bacterium. RNAcentral's name for it is "partial 16S ribosomal RNA". It matches the Rfam family "Bacterial small subunit ribosomal RNA", at positions 524 to 776 of the family's 1533-position model. The record is from RNAcentral.